RNAcentral lists this ribosomal RNA (470 nucleotides) under Veillonella dispar. Its description in RNAcentral is "bacterial SSU rRNA". It matches the Rfam family "Bacterial small subunit ribosomal RNA", at positions 28 to 475 of the family's 1533-position model. Lineage: Bacteria; Bacillati; Bacillota; Negativicutes; Veillonellales; Veillonellaceae. The record is from RNAcentral.
GACGAACGCUGGCGGCGUGCUUAACACAUGCAAGUCGAACGAAGAGCGAUGGAAGCUUGCUUCUAUCAAUCUUAGUGGCGAACGGGUGAGUAACGCGUAAUCAACCUGCCCUUCAGAGGGGGACAACAGUUGGAAACGACUGCUAAUACCGCAUACGAUCUAAUCUCGGCAUCGAGGAUAGAUGAAAGGUGGCCUCUAUUUAUAAGCUAUCACUGAAGGAGGGGAUUGCGUCUGAUUAGCUAGUUGGAGGGGUAACGGCCCACCAAGGCGAUGAUCAGUAGCCGGUCUGAGAGGAUGAACGGCCACAUUGGGACUGAGACACGGCCCAGACUCCUACGGGAGGCAGCAGUGGGGAAUCUUCCGCAAUGGACGAAAGUCUGACGGAGCAACGCCGCGUGAGUGAUGACGGCCUUCGGGUUGUAAAGCUCUGUUAAUCGGGACGAAAGGCCUUCUUGCGAAUAGUUAGAAGG